ACUUAAAUAUACCAAAUAUAUUAAUUAUUCAAUAAAUUUAAAAAAUUAUUUUUUUAUUAAUAGAACUAAAGGAAGUAGUAUACAAAAUAGUAUACAAAUACACUUUUAGGUUUAUCAUAACAUUUGAAAAGCAAGGGAAACAUCAAUAUAAUUUAAAAGUAAAAUAUCAAGUACAAACAUCUGGCGUAAAAGUAAAGUUAUAUGCUUAGAAGUGAUAUAAUUAUUUUUAAACUUAAUCAAUCCUCGGCUAUCAUUCUAUAUUGACAAUGACGAUCAAUACACUUCAUAACUAAAGGUAAAGUCUUCUCUGGACAAUCACUGUUUUCAACACAAGGAAUGCGAAAUACACCACGAUGAAAAGCUGCAUUGUAGUGUUAAAAUGUUACUAAAAAAUAUAUGUAUUUAUAAAAAAAAAUAUUUUUUAAAUUUAUUUAUUAAAUAAUAUAUCUGGACAAAAUAUAAAUAAGAUAUAUUAGUUAUUGAAUUAAUUUAAUUUUUUAUUAUUUAUAAAUAGAACUAGAAAUAAUAUUAGAUAUGAUAUCAUGCAUAAGAUAAAUUACAAAGUUUUGAAAACAGUUUGAAAAAGAACAUACCACCAUUGGUUACGACAAAAAAUAGAGGAAAUAAUAUGAUAAGAGUACAAACAAACAUGAUAAUUUGAGCCAUAUUUUUCCUCCUUUUGCAUAUAGAUAAUAAAUAUUAACUACUUUGUGCGCUUUAUAGAAAACUUCCACUCUUUGUCAACUUCAAAUAAUAGUUUUUAGUAUUAGGACUUGUA
Molecule: long non-coding RNA, 778 nt
Filed under: Lathyrus oleraceus (garden pea)
Lineage: Eukaryota; Viridiplantae; Streptophyta; Magnoliopsida; Fabales; Fabaceae
Description: Pisum sativum (pea) long non-coding RNA (PSAT_LNC031190)
Source: RNAcentral